Molecule: transfer RNA, 112 nt
Filed under: Madurella mycetomatis
Lineage: Eukaryota; Fungi; Ascomycota; Sordariomycetes; Sordariales
Rfam family: tRNA
About the family: Transfer RNA (tRNA) molecules are approximately 80 nucleotides in length. Their secondary structure includes four short double-helical elements and three loops (D, anti-codon, and T loops). Further hydrogen bonds mediate the characteristic L-shaped molecular structure. tRNAs have two regions of fundamental functional importance: the anti-codon, which is responsible for specific mRNA codon recognition, and the 3' end, to which the tRNAs corresponding amino acid is attached (by aminoacyl-tRNA synthetases). tRNAs cope with the degeneracy of the genetic code in two manners: having more than one tRNA (with a specific anti-codon) for a particular amino acid; and 'wobble' base-pairing, i.e. permitting non-standard base-pairing at the 3rd anti-codon position.
Source: Rfam by way of RNAcentral
GGCAAGGUGGCCGAGCGGUCCAAGGCGCCAGGUUCAGGCAAACCUGAGCUCGACUCUCCCGAGUCUUCCUGGUCUCAGAAAUGGGGCGUGAGUUCGAAUCUCACCCUUGUCA